CUUGGUCAUUUAGAGGAAGUAAAAGUCGUAACAAGGUCUCCGUAGGUGAACCUGCGGAGGGAUCAUUACAGAGUUAAGGGUCUUUCUAGGCCCGAACCUCCAACCCUAUGUCUAUCAUACCACGUUGCUUCGGCGGACCCGCCCGUAAAAAGGCCGCCGGGAGGUCGUCAAACCCCUCCUGGCCCGUUCGUCCGUCGAUGGCCUAAAACACAAAACUCUGUAUAACCAUGUUGUCUGAGUCCAAAACAAAAAAUUAAAACAAAACUUUCAACAACGGAUCUCUUGGUUCUGGCAUCGAUGAAGAACGCAGCGAAAUGCGAUAAGUAAUGCGAAUUGCAGAAUUCAGUGAGUCAUCGAAUCUUUGAACGCACAUUGCGCCCUUUGGCAUUCCGAAGGGCAUGCCUGUUCGAGCGUCAUUAUCACCCCUCAAGCUUGGCUUGGUGUUGGACUUUUUCUACGGGCCUCCGGGCCCGGGUCCCAAAGAUAAUGACAGGCUUGACGGAAGCCUCGGUACAAUGAGUCUUGCACAAGGCACGUAUCGCAGUUUGUUUCUGUCCGGCUUGGUCUUAACCACAAAUUUUUCUUAAGGUUGACCUCGGAUCAGGUAGGAAUACCCGCUGAACUUAAGCAUAUCAAUAAGCGGAGGAA
RNAcentral lists this ribosomal RNA (648 nucleotides) under uncultured fungus. RNAcentral describes it as "eukaryotic LSU rRNA". The stretch from base 263 to 416 matches the Rfam family "5.8S ribosomal RNA". Lineage: Eukaryota; Fungi. The record is from RNAcentral.